GACGAACGCUGGCGGCGUGCCUAAUACAUGCAAGUAGAACGCUGAAGAGAGGAGCUUGCUCUUCUUGGAUGAGUUGCGAACGGGUGAGUAACGCGUAGGUAACCUGCCUUGUAGCGGGGGAUAACUAUUGGAAACGAUAGCUAAUACCGCAUAACAAUGGAUGACACAUGUCAUUUAUUUGAAAGGGGCAAUUGCUCCUCUACAAGAUGGACCUGCGUUGUAUUAGCUAGUAGGUGAGGUAAUGGCUCACCUAGGCGACGAUACAUAGCCGACCUGAGAGGGUGAUCGGCCACACUGGGACUGAGACACGGCCCAGACUCCUACGGGAGGCAGCAGUAGGGAAUCUUCGGCAAUGGGGGCAACCCUGACCGAGCAACGCCGCGUGAGUGAAGAAGGUUUUCGGAUCGUAAAGCUCUGUUGUAAGUCAAGAACGGGUGUGAGAGUGGAAAGUUCACACUGUGACGGUAGCUUACCAGAAAGGGACGGCUAACUACGUG
This 497-nucleotide ribosomal RNA is filed under the name uncultured bacterium. RNAcentral's name for it is "partial 16S ribosomal RNA". It matches the Rfam family "Bacterial small subunit ribosomal RNA", at positions 28 to 507 of the family's 1533-position model. The record is from RNAcentral.